CCUACGGGUGGCAGCAGGGAGGAAUAUUGGUCAAUGGGCGCGAGCCUGAACCAGCCAAGUAGCGUGAAGGAUGACUGCCCUACGGGUUGUAAACUUCGUGUAUAAAGGAAUAAAGUGAGGCACGUGUGCCGUUUUGUAUGUACUUUAGGAAUAAGGAUCGGCUAACUCCGUGCCAGCAGCCGCGGUAAUACGGAGGAUCCGAGCGUUCUCCGGAUUUAUUGGGUUUAAAGGGAGCGUAGCUGGGUUGUUAAGUCAGUUGUGAAAGUUUGCGGCUCAACCGUAAAAUUGCAAUUGAUACGGGCAGUCUUGAGUACAGUUGCGGUAGGCGGAAUUCGUGGUGUAGCGG
This 346-nucleotide ribosomal RNA is filed under the name uncultured bacterium. RNAcentral's name for it is "partial 16S ribosomal RNA". It matches the Rfam family "Bacterial small subunit ribosomal RNA", at positions 338 to 681 of the family's 1533-position model. The record is from RNAcentral.